GAUGAAGAACGUAGCGAAAUGCGAUAAGUAAUGUGAAUUGCAGAAUUCAGUGAAUCAUCGAAUCUUUGAACGCACCUUGCGCCCUUUGGCUAUUCCGAAGGGCAUGCCUGUUUGAGUAUCAUGAACACCUCAACUCUUCACGGCUUGCCGUGAUGAGUUUGGACUUUGGGGGUCUUGCUGGCCUACGAGCCAGCUCCUCUCAAAUGUAUUAGCUUGCCGGUGUUUGGUGGCAUCACAGGUGUGAUAACUAUCUACGCUUGUGGUUUUCCACUAGGUAACCUUCAGCAAUGGAGGUUCACCGGAGCUCACAAAUGUCUCUCCUUGCCAAGGACAGAUUUUGACCCUUUGAUCUCAAAUCAGGUAGGACUACCCGCUGAACUUAAGCAUAUCAAUAAGCGGAGGA
This 403-nucleotide unclassified non-coding RNA is filed under the name soil metagenome. RNAcentral's name for it is "partial contains 5.8S ribosomal RNA, internal transcribed spacer 2, and large subunit ribosomal RNA". The stretch from base 1 to 121 matches the Rfam family "5.8S ribosomal RNA", at positions 35 to 154 of the family's 154-position model. The record is from RNAcentral.